UCUCCGUUGGUGAACCAGCGGAGGGAUCAUUACAGGACUCGCAAGACUCCUACAACCCUGUGAACUUAACUAUAAGCACGUUGCUUCGGCGGGUGUCUCGGAGGGAGUUCUCCCUCCCCGAGACGCUAAACCCGCCGGCAGCCUACUAUACUCUGUCUCUUUGCGUUGGCAUCUCGAGUACAAUCAAACAAGUUAAAACUUUCAACAACGGAUCUCUUGGUUCUG
RNAcentral lists this unclassified non-coding RNA (225 nucleotides) under plant metagenome. RNAcentral's name for it is "partial contains small subunit ribosomal RNA, internal transcribed spacer 1, and 5.8S ribosomal RNA". The record is from RNAcentral.